This is a long non-coding RNA of Anthonomus grandis grandis, 620 nucleotides long. RefSeq lists it as uncharacterized. Lineage: Eukaryota; Metazoa; Arthropoda; Insecta; Coleoptera; Curculionidae. The transcript has 2 exons. The record is from RefSeq and is a predicted model, not a curated record.
UUUGACAGUGUUUGACAUUUCUUCGACCGCGUCGCAGAACUCGCUUUUCUUCUGGUUGCCGGUAAUUAAGUGCAUCGAAAUUUUCGUAACCCGAUUUUGGGGGCUCACCACAUUUCCACAGGUCUUUUAUUUUGUGGCUUCUUGUGUACAGGGCUAUAAAGCCCUGUGGAUAACCGCCUUGCGGGAUUUAUUAGGCACCAGAGGUCUGUACUUGUAUUCUUGUUUUUGCUGCUUUAACCUCAUCUACUUCAUCCAUAUCCAGUGGCUUGGAACAGCUCUUCCUAGACUGCUGGUACCUAUGGCCUAGUCCUGUAGGUGUCAACCAUGGAGUCUAUUCAGACCAAAUGGACCCUGCUGCAAGUCAGGUAUUCCUUUCAGGAAUGGGGACCUCAGGUAUUAAUUUUGUCGGGUCGCACAUGCAAUUCAUACAUUUUUAUGAACCAUAUUCAUUGUCACUGAUUAUUGAUUGAAUUUAAUUGAUUUUUUAAAUCUGUAAUUAAAAACCGAGUAUAUACAUAUACCGGGUGGUGCAUUGCCAAGCUGGCCAUAGGAAAUCCCAUAUAAAUGAUGAUAUUUUCAAGUAUUGGUUCCCCUGUAUAAUAUAUUACAGAAAAACUGUA